Molecule: small nuclear RNA, 117 nt
Organism: Prosopis cineraria
Lineage: Eukaryota; Viridiplantae; Streptophyta; Magnoliopsida; Fabales; Fabaceae
Product: U5 spliceosomal RNA
Exons: 1
Source: RefSeq, a predicted model, not a curated record
AGCCACGUAAUGAGCACAUAGCGAACUAUUCUUUCACCUUUUACUAAAGAAUACCGUGUGCUCAUUGCUUCAAAUGGCAUGCGCCUAUUUUUGAAGAGUCCUAGUUCAGUUUGAUUU